GCUCUUCCUAUCAUUGUGAAG
Molecule: small nuclear RNA, 21 nt
Filed under: Arabidopsis thaliana (thale cress)
Lineage: Eukaryota; Viridiplantae; Streptophyta; Magnoliopsida; Brassicales; Brassicaceae
Description: snRNA_11171
Source: RNAcentral